CGGGACGGGCAGCCGCGGGAUUGGGCUGAAAAGCCCUUUCAUGAGGAAAGUCCGGGCUCCACAGGGCAAGAAUAACGGGUAACGCCCGCCGAAGGCGACUUCAGGAAAAGUGCAACAGAGAUAUACCGCCUUGCGGAAUUUUCGCAAGGUAAGGGUGGAAAGGCGAGGUAAGAGCUCACCCGCUGCAUGGGAACAUCGCAGCGCUGUAAACUCUAUUCGGAGCAACACCGUGGAGGAGGCAAGGUCGGCCCGACCGUCUCCGAGGAGGUGGCUGGAACGCGGCGGCAACGCCGCGUCUAGAUAGAUGGCUGUCGAUUACAGAACCCGGCUUAUAGUCCCGAUC
This 343-nucleotide RNase P RNA is filed under the name pig gut metagenome. RNAcentral describes it as "Bacterial RNase P class A". It matches the Rfam family "Bacterial RNase P class A". From Rfam's summary of the family: Ribonuclease P (RNase P) is a ubiquitous endoribonuclease, found in archaea, bacteria and eukarya as well as chloroplasts and mitochondria. Its best characterised activity is the generation of mature 5'-ends of tRNAs by cleaving the 5'-leader elements of precursor-tRNAs. The record is from RNAcentral.